CCAUGCAGUCGAACGGAAGGUCUCUUCGGAGAUACUCGAGUGGCGAACGGGUGAGUAACACGUGGGUGAUCUGCCCUGCACUUCGGGAUAAGCCUGGGAAACUGGGUCUAAUACCGGAUAGGACCACGGGAUGCAUGUCUUGUGGUGGAAAGCGCUUUAGCGGUGUGGGAUGAGCCCGCGGCCUAUCAGCUUGUUGGUGGGGUGACGGCCUACCAAGGCGACGACGGGUAGCCGGCCUGAGAGGGUGUCCGGCCACACUGGGACUGAGAUACGGCCCAGACUCCUACGGGAGGCAGCAGUGGGGAAUAUUGCACAAUGGGCGCAAGCCUGAUGCAGCGACGCCGCGUGGGGGAUGACGGCCUUCGGGUUGUAAACCUCUUUCACCAUCGACGAAGGUCCGGGUUCUCUCGGAUUGACGGUAGGUGGAGAAGAAGCACCGGCCAACUACGUGCCAGCAGCCGCGGUAAUACGUAGGGUGCGAGCGUUGUCCGGAAUUACUGGGCGUAAAGAGCUCGUAGGUGGUUUGUCGCGUUGUUCGUGAAAUCUCACGGCUUAACUGUGAGCGUGCGGGCGAUACGGGCAGACUAGAGUACUGCAGGGGAGACUGGAAUUCCUGGUGUAGCGGUGGAAUGCGCAGAUAUCAGGAGGAACACCGGUGGCGAAGGCGGGUCUCUGGGCAGUAACUGACGCUGAGGAGCGAAAGCGUGGGGAGCGAACAGGAUUAGAUACCCUGGUAGUCCACGCCGUAAACGGUGGGUACUAGGUGUGGGUUUCCUUCCUUGGGAUCCGUGCCGUAGCUAACGCAUUAAGUACCCCGCCUGGGGAGUACGGCCGCAAGGCUAAAACUCAAAGGAAUUGACGGGGGCCCGCACAAGCGGCGGAGCAUGUGGAUUAAUUCGAUGCAACGCGAAGAACCUUACCUGGGUUUGACAUGCACAGGACGCGUCUAGAGAUAGGCGUUCCCUUGUGGCCUGUGUGCAGGUGGUGCAUGGCCUGUCGUCAGCUCGUUGUCGUGAAGAUGUUGGAGUUUA
This 1031-nucleotide ribosomal RNA is filed under the name Mycobacterium tuberculosis. RNAcentral's name for it is "bacterial SSU rRNA". It matches the Rfam family "Bacterial small subunit ribosomal RNA", at positions 53 to 1083 of the family's 1533-position model. The record is from RNAcentral. Lineage: Bacteria; Bacillati; Actinomycetota; Actinomycetes; Mycobacteriales; Mycobacteriaceae.